UACGUAGGGUGCGAGCGUUAAUCGGAAUUACUGGGCGUAAAGCGUGCGCAGGUGGUUGUGUAAGUCAGAUGUGAAAUCCCCGGGCUCAACCUGGGAACUGCAUUUGAGACUGCACGGCUAGAGGAUGGCAGAGGGGGGUAGAAUUCCACGUGUAGCAGUGAAAUGCGUAGAGAUGUGGAGGAAUACCGAUGGCGAAGGCAGCCCCCUGGGCUAUUACUGACACUCAUGCACGAAAGCGUGGGGAGCAAAC
RNAcentral lists this ribosomal RNA (250 nucleotides) under uncultured bacterium. RNAcentral describes it as "partial 16S ribosomal RNA". It matches the Rfam family "Bacterial small subunit ribosomal RNA", at positions 524 to 773 of the family's 1533-position model. The record is from RNAcentral.